AGUGAAGUUCUUCUAUUUUCAGGGCUUUUAGGUCUUCUAGUAUUUCUGCUUCUGUGUAGCUGUUUCCUAGCCCUUUUAGUAGGUACGUGUGGGGUUUUUGAGAUUUUGGAGUAUAUGUGAAAUGGGCCGUGUUGGCUGCGGUCAGUAUUUUUUUUGCAUUAGCGUAAUCAUUUAGGUUUUGAAGAUAAAGCACGUGCUUACCUGCAUGGAUUCUUUUGAUAUGGAAAUUCUUGAUUUUGAGGGAGUUUUCCAUGAGUGCUAUUGUGUCUUUCGGGUCUUGUAAUGUUAUGUUGAUGGGGGGGCGGCCUGGCCCCUUUUGCCGAUGUGGGGGGGGUCUGCCUGGUCUUCAGCGGGGUGGCUGGGUGGCAGGCCCUUAUGCGUUUGGUUUUUCAGUAAUGUUGAAGGUUGUGGUGUUUUUUUUCGGCGGAGCGGGGAGGGGGGUGCUUGUCCGGGCGGUAUAGCUUUUGCUCGUGGUUAUUGGUGACGUGUCCAGGGGAGUGGGCUGUCUGGUUGCCUUUUUCCUUAAUACGUCGUUUUUUUUAAUGUUUUCGAUAAUAGUUUGCUGCGGAUGCGAUGCGCAGGGGUCUUGAGCUUGGAGGGCUUCGAAUCUGUUUUUUAUUGGGAUUUCCAUUGGUUGAGGGCUUCUUUUUUGUUUCAUAUUUUCGUUUUUUUCGUCGCGCUCUUCUUGUGAAUCGCUUUCUUCUUCUUUUAAAUUUUCUUGUCUGAUGUUUUUUUGUUCC
This 740-nucleotide unclassified non-coding RNA is filed under the name Bombus terrestris (buff-tailed bumblebee). RNAcentral describes it as "misc RNA ENSBTSG00005028564.1". The record is from RNAcentral. Lineage: Eukaryota; Metazoa; Arthropoda; Insecta; Hymenoptera; Apidae.